GGAAAAACCAACAAUACAUUAAGUAUAGAAAAUGUGAGUGAAUAAGUUUUGGAAGACAGCUUAAGAUACUUCUUAAGCAGGGAAGAUUGAGGAAAAAAAUAUUAGCACAAUCAAAUAUGUCUGCAAAAAUUAAGCAAUGUAAAUAAUUUCUAGCAUGUUAAUACACUUUAUAUAUAAAAAACAUAUAGUGAGUCUACCCACGGGCUUUUAACAUCGGGCUGGAGGAGAUUUUGCUAUUGAUGGACAAGAACAUGCCAUUAACACUCCAAUGUGACCAUAGUUUCUUGGUUGCAGCAGUCUGUUUGCUUAGCUAGAAUUCCUGGCAUCUGGUUUGGCCUUUUGAAGGGCAGACGAGGUGAUGUGUAAUGUGUCAAUUCUUUUGUGAAAAGUCCCUCCCAGGUAGUAGCACUAUUUUAAAUGGAAUAACGUGGCAGACACCUUGCAAUGGGAGAAGCAAGUGGUGUCUCCAUAACUCAUUCCCUCUUCCCUUUUCACAAGUUAAGUAAAUUUCAACAAUUAUUGAUUGUCAGGUGAAGCCACCACAGUUCCAUUAUGUUUAGAUAAGUCAUGCUACUUCAUUAUCCCAUUUUGAGCUAUGGCAGGAAGAGCUUCCAGGAGUGGAAGGAAGUAACCACAACCUGCAGCCAGGAGCAGAUGGUGGAAACAGACUUUCAAGGGCAUCACGUCCCUGCCCUGCAGGUUAUGGUGUGA
Molecule: long non-coding RNA, 711 nt
Filed under: Anser brachyrhynchus (Pink-footed goose)
Lineage: Eukaryota; Metazoa; Chordata; Aves; Anseriformes; Anatidae
Description: lncRNA (ENSABRG00000015969.1)
Source: RNAcentral